RNAcentral lists this ribosomal RNA (489 nucleotides) under uncultured bacterium. RNAcentral describes it as "partial 16S ribosomal RNA". It matches the Rfam family "Bacterial small subunit ribosomal RNA", at positions 29 to 507 of the family's 1533-position model. The record is from RNAcentral.
AUGAACGCUAGCUACAGGCUUAACACAUGCAAGUCGAGGGGCAGCAUGGUCUUAGCUUGCUAAGGCCGAUGGCGACCGGCGCACGGGUGAGUAACACGUAUCCAACCUGCCGUCUACUCUUGGACAGCCUUCUGAAAGGAAGAUUAAUACAAGAUGGCAUCAUGAGUCCGCAUGUUCACAUGAUUAAAGGUAUUCCGGUAGACGAUGGGGAUGCGUUCCAUUAGAUAGUAGGCGGGGUAACGGCCCACCUAGUCUUCGAUGGAUAGGGGUUCUGAGAGGAAGGUCCCCCACAUUGGAACUGAGACACGGUCCAAACUCCUACGGGAGGCAGCAGUGAGGAAUAUUGGUCAAUGGGCGCAGGCCUGAACCAGCCAAGUAGCGUGAAGGAUGACUGCCCUAUGGGUUGUAAACUUCUUUUAUAAAGGAAUAAAGUCGGGUAUGUAUACCCGUUUGCAUGUACCUUAUGAAUAAGGAUCGGCUAACUCCGUG